AACGUAGGACGCAAGCGUUAUCCGGAAUUACUGGGCGUAAAGGGCGCGUAGGCGGCCGCCUAAGUCAGACGUGAAAUCCCUCGGCUCAACCGGGGAACUGCGUCUGAUACUGGGUGGCUUGAAUUCGGGAGAGGGAUGCGGAAUUCCAGGUGUAGCGGUGAAAUGCGUAGAUAUCUGGAGGAACACCGGUGGCGAAGGCGGCAUCCUGGACCGAGAUUGACGCUGAGGCGCGAAAGCCAGGGGAGCAAACGGG
This 253-nucleotide ribosomal RNA is filed under the name uncultured bacterium. RNAcentral's name for it is "partial 16S ribosomal RNA". It matches the Rfam family "Bacterial small subunit ribosomal RNA", at positions 524 to 776 of the family's 1533-position model. The record is from RNAcentral.